This 2324-nucleotide ribosomal RNA is filed under the name human gut metagenome. RNAcentral describes it as "bacterial LSU rRNA". It matches the Rfam family "Bacterial large subunit ribosomal RNA", at positions 14 to 2357 of the family's 2925-position model. The record is from RNAcentral.
AGAGCGCAGGGUGGAUGCCUUGGCACUAAGAGCCGAUGAAAGACGUGAUAAGCUGCGAUAAGCUACGGGGAGGAGCACAUAUCCAUUGAUCCGUAGAUUUCUGAAUGGGGAAACCCGGCUGAGCAUACCUCAGUCACCGUACACUGAAUCCAUAGGUGUACGGAGGGAACCCGGUGAACUGAAACAUCUAAGUAGCCGGAGGAAGAGAAAGAAAACUCGAUUUUCAAAGUAGCGGCGAGCGAAAUGGAAAGAGCCCAAACCGGAGUGCGUGCACUCCGGGGUUCGGACUGCAUUUAUGACUUCUGACUGUAGCGGAACGGUUCUGGAAAGACCGGCCAGAGAGGGUGAGAGCCCCGUAGGCGAAACGGAAAGAAGCAGAGCAGGAUCCAGAGUACCACGAGACACGAGAAACCUUGUGGGAAUGAGCGGGGACCACCCCGUAAGGCUAAAUACUCCUUAGUGACCGAUAGAGCAGAGUACUGUGAAGGAAAGGUGAAAAGGACCCCGGGAGGGGAGUGAAAGAGAACCUGAAACCCUGUGUUUACAAACUGUGGAAGUACCAUAUGAGUACAACCGCGUACUUUUUGUAGAACGGUCCGGCGAGUUACGUUUACUGGCGAGGUUAAGCACUUAAGGUGCGGAGCCGAAGGGAUACCAAGUCUUAACAGGGCGUUAAGUCAGUGUACGUAGACCCGAAACCGGGUGAUCUACCCAUGUCCAGGCUGAAGUUGCCGUAAAAGGCAAUGGAGGGCCGAACGCACAUCCGUUGAAAAGGGUGGCGAUGAGGUGUGGGUAGGGGAGAAAUUCCAAUCGAACCCGGAGAUAGCUGGUUCUCCUCGAAAUAGCUUUAGGGCUAGCCUCGUGUUAACCUUGUGGAGGUAGAGCACUGAAUAUCCUAGGGGGCGUCAAAGUCUACCGAAGAUUAUCAAACUCCGAAUGCCAUAGAGGUGAUGCACGGGAGUCAGACUGCACGAGAUAAGUUGGGUGGUCAAAAGGGAAAGAGCCCAGACCUACAGCUAAGGUCCCAAAGUGCGUGUUAAGUGGAAAAGGAUGUGGGAUUUCGAAGACAACUAGGAUGUUGGCUCAGAAGCAGCCAUACAUUCAAAGAGUGCGUAAUAGCUCACUAGUCGAGAGGUCCUGCGCCGAAAAUGUCCGGGGCUGAAACACGACACCGAAGCUUAGGAAUGUAGAUGAACCUUUGGUUCUAUAUACAUUGGUAGAGGAGCAUUGUUAGCGCAGCGAAGCUGUACCGAUAAGGAGCAGUGGAGUGCUAAGAAGAGAGAAUGCCGGAAUGAGUAGCGAGAGGAAGGUGAGAAUCCUUCCGGCCGAAUAUCCAAGGUUUCCAGAGUAAAGCUGAUCUGCUCUGGGUAAGUCGGGGCCUAAGGCGAGGUCGAAAGACGUAGUCGAUGGAUAACAGGUGGAGAUUCCUGUACUAUGUGUACCCAGAACUGUGGGGACGCAUGUGGAGAGCAUGAGCCGGGAAAGAGAAAACCGGUACAAGCGGGGUAGGAGUAAGGACAGCAAAUCUUCCUUACAAUCCGAAGACGUAAUGUGGACCGAACCAAAGUAGGGAAGCGUGUGAGCCAUGUGCCAAGAAAAGCCGCUAUUGUGAUACACAUACCCGUACCGUAAACCGACACAGGUGGAUGAGGAGAGAAUCCUAAGGCCGACGGAAGAAGCAUUGUUAAGGAACUCGGCAAAAUGACCCCGUAACUUCGGGAGAAGGGGUGCCCUGUGAAAGCAGGGCCGCAGAGAAUAGGCUCAAGCAACUGUUUAGCAAAAACACAGGUCUAUGCGAAACCGAAAGGUGAGGUAUAUGGCUGACGCCUGCCCGGUGCUGGAAGGUUAAGAGGAGAAGUCAGGCAACGAAGCUUCGAAUUUAAGCCCCAGUAAACGGCGGCCGUAACUAUAACGGUCCUAAGGUAGCGAAAUUCCUUGUCGGGUAAGUUCCGACCCGCACGAAAGGCGUAAUGAUUUGAGCACUGUCUCGACAAUGCAUCCGGUGAAAUUGAAGUACCAGUGAAGAUGCUGGUUACCUGCGCCAGGACGGAAAGACCCCAUGGAGCUUUACUCCAGCUUGAUACUGGGAUUCGAUACUGUAUGUACAGGAUAGGUGGGAGACGUUGAACAUAGAACGCCAGUUUUAUGUGAGUCGCUGUUGGGAUACCACCCUUGCAGUAUUGGAUUUCUAACCUGCACCCAUGACCUGGGUGGGGGACAAUGUCUGGCGGGGAGUUUGACUGGGGCGGUCGUCGAAGGUCAAGUGGAGGGCGCUCAAAGGGUUCCCUCAGAAAUGGGUUUGGAAACCCAUUCGAAAGAAGUGU